UGUUGCCGCUUCACAUGGUCUUUCCUCUGUGCGUGCGCAGCUCUGGUGUCCCUCUCCAUGUCCUAAUCUCUUCUCAAAAGGACACCAGUCAUACCUCACUUUACCUUCGUCACCUCACCUUAUCUCCAAGUACAGUCACAUUCUCAGGUCCUGGGAAUGAGGAUUUCAGCAUGUAAAUUUUGCGGAGACACACGUCAGCUCCUAACAAAAUGUUCAGUUGUCUAGCUCACAGGGAUAUCCACAAGCCAGACCCAGAAAGCCUUUGCUACCAUUGAUGAAGAUGCCAAGUCCACAGCCCAACAGCCAGAAGACCCUUGGUCUAGCCCUUGGAUUCAGACUGAAUUGAUAUCGCCAGGUUUCCUGUCUUUUCAGCUUGCAGGCAGCUGAUUGUGGGACUUCUCAGCCUCCUUAAUCAUAUUUUCUUAUCAUUGGCCUUCAACAUUUUUAUCAGGAUAUAUCUGUGUAUAUUGCAGAUUUUACAAAUUGAAGGUUUGUGACAACUCCCUCAAGGAAGUCUGUUGGUGUUAUUUUUCCAACAGCAGGUACUCACUUCAUGUCUCUGUGUCACAUUUUGGCCUUUAAACCAAGAGAAGACAUACCUGAGCAAUUGAACCAGAAGGGAUGAGCCCCACCUGGAUCUGAUGCAGAUUAAAAUAUCUUGGACCUUGGGCCUGAGCUUGGAAUGGAAUGAGACCUUUGAGGAUCUUAGUGGGGAAUCCCCUUGUCAUAAAACCAAUGCAUAAGAUACAACUGCAUCCAAUGUAUUCCAGGGAAAGAUUCUCUGCAGAUGACUCAAGGAAAGCCACAGGAGCAACAGGGAAACUGAAAGAACAAAUAUCACAGUUGAUUCAGAAGGGCAGCCCCACAUUUUUAAGUGAUACCCAACCAUUGUGAACAAGCUCUGUCAACACCAUCUGCUCCACAAAGGAAAGUUGCUGAUUAUUGCAUCUCUAAGUGGAGUCGGUUCUCUCCCACGAUAGCAGAAGGCUUUCACAUUCACUAUACUGUUAUGGACAUGGAGGAUGGGAACCAUUGCUUUGUUUACUCUGCAACUUCUUAAUUAUAUCACAAAAGACUCGACACAUAAGCAGUAUCCAGAAAAGCAAGUCGACUACAUAAAAAUCAAUGCAUGAUUGUCUAUAGCCUUUGACAUACUAGGACCAGUCAAGAUAUGUGUGGAGGGUAAUGAAGAAUGGGCAAAUACCAGAGAAAAGACAGCUGAGUGUCCAUGAUAAAG
This 1237-nucleotide long non-coding RNA is filed under the name Homo sapiens (human). RNAcentral's name for it is "HSALNT0356303". The record is from RNAcentral. Lineage: Eukaryota; Metazoa; Chordata; Mammalia; Primates; Hominidae.